UAGUGGCGAACGGGUGAGUAACACGUGGGCAAUCUGCCCUUCACUCUGGGACAAGCCCUGGAAACGGGGUCUAAUACCGGAUAACACCUGCCCGGGCAUCCGGGUGGGUUAAAAGCUCCGGCGGUGAAGGAUGAGCCCGCGGCCUAUCAGCUUGUUGGUGAGGUAGUGGCUCACCAAGGCGACGACGGGUAGCCGGCCUGAGAGGGCGACCGGCCACACUGGGACUGAGACACGGCCCAGACUCCUACGGGAGGCAGCAGUGGGGAAUAUUGCACAAUGGGCGAAAGCCUGAUGCAGCGACGCCGCGUGAGGGAUGACGGCCUUCGGGUUGUAAACCUCUUUCAGCAGGGAAGAAGCGAAAGUGACGGUACCUGCAGAAGAAGCGCCGGCUAACUACGUGCCAGCAGCCGCGGUAAUACGUAGGGCGCAAGCGUUGUCCGGAAUUAUUGGGCGUAAAGAGCUCGUAGGCGGCUUGUCACGUCGGGUGUGAAAGCCC
RNAcentral lists this ribosomal RNA (496 nucleotides) under Streptomyces sp. 310C04. RNAcentral's name for it is "bacterial SSU rRNA". It matches the Rfam family "Bacterial small subunit ribosomal RNA", at positions 93 to 603 of the family's 1533-position model. Lineage: Bacteria; Bacillati; Actinomycetota; Actinomycetes; Kitasatosporales; Streptomycetaceae. The record is from RNAcentral.